RNAcentral lists this ribosomal RNA (478 nucleotides) under uncultured bacterium. Its description in RNAcentral is "partial 16S ribosomal RNA". It matches the Rfam family "Bacterial small subunit ribosomal RNA", at positions 28 to 507 of the family's 1533-position model. The record is from RNAcentral.
GAUGAACGCUGGCGGCGUGCCUAACACAUGCAAGUCGAACGGGACACCUUUUAUUGAUGCUUCGGCAGAUUUAGCUGGUUUCUAGUGGCGGACGGGUGAGUAACGCGUGGGUAACCUGCCCUAUACAGGGGGAUAACAACCAGAGAUGGUUGCUAAUACCGCAUAAGCGUACAGGGCCGCAUGGUCCGGUGUGAAAAGGUCCGGUGGUAUAGGAUGGCCCCGCGUUGGAUUAGCCAGUUGGCAGGGUAACGGCCUACCAAGGCGACGAUCCAUAGCUGGCCUGAGAGGAUGAACAGCCACACUGGGACUGAGACACGGCCCAGACUCCUACGGGAGGCAGCAGUGGGGAAUAUUGCACAAUGGGGGAAACCCUGAUGCAGCGACGCCGCGUGAAUGAAGAAGUAUUUAGGGAUGUAAAGUUCUUUUAGCAGGGAAGAUAAUGACGGUACCUGAAGAAGAAGCCCCGGCUAACUACGUG